RNAcentral lists this ribosomal RNA (253 nucleotides) under uncultured bacterium. RNAcentral's name for it is "partial 16S ribosomal RNA". It matches the Rfam family "Bacterial small subunit ribosomal RNA", at positions 524 to 776 of the family's 1533-position model. The record is from RNAcentral.
UACGAGAGGUGCAAGCGUUAUUCGGAAUUAUUGGGCGUAAAGGGCGCGUAGGCGGCUUUAUAAGUUUUUUGUUCAAUCUUCUGGCCUAACUGGAAAAAAGCAGAAAAUACUGUAUUGCUAGAGUAUAAUAGAGAAAAGUGGAAUUUUCGGAGUAGCGGUUAAAUGCGUAGAUCUCGAAAGGAACGCCAAUGGCGAAAGCAGCUUUUUGGGUUAUUACUGACGCUGAGGCGCGAAGGCGUGGGGAGCAAACAGG